CAGCAGCCGCGGGAAUACGGAGGAUCCAAGCGUUAUCCGGAAUCAUUGGGUUUAAAGGGUCCGUAGGCGGUCUUGUAAGUCAGUGGUAAAAGCCCAUCGCUCAACGGUGGAACGGCCAUUGAUACUGCAGGACUUGAAUUAUUGGGAAGUAACUAGAAUAUGUAGUGUAGCGGUGAAAUGCUUAGAGAUUACAUGGAAUACCAAUUGCGAAGGCAGGUUACUACCAAUUGAUUGACGCUGAUGGACGAAAGCGUGGGUAGCGAACAGGAUUAGAUACCCCUGUAGUCCCUGUCUCUUAUAC
RNAcentral lists this ribosomal RNA (301 nucleotides) under uncultured bacterium. Its description in RNAcentral is "partial 16S ribosomal RNA". It matches the Rfam family "Bacterial small subunit ribosomal RNA", at positions 509 to 807 of the family's 1533-position model. The record is from RNAcentral.